Molecule: ribosomal RNA, 475 nt
Filed under: uncultured organism
Description: partial 16S ribosomal RNA
Rfam family: Bacterial small subunit ribosomal RNA
Source: RNAcentral
ACUCCUGCGGGAGGCAGCAGUGGGGAAUUUUGGACAAUGGGCGAAAGCCUGAUCCAGCAAUGCCGCGUGAGUGAAGAAGGCCUUCGGGUUGUAAAGCUCUUUUGUCAGGGAAGAAACGGUGAGAGCUAAUAUCUCUUGCUAAUGACGGUACCUGAAGAAUAAGCACCGGCUAACUACGUGCCAGCAGCCGCGGUAAUACGUAGGGUGCAAGCGUUAAUCGGAAUUACUGGGCGUAAAGCGUGCGCAGGCGGUUUUGUAAGUCUGAUGUGAAAUCCCCGGGCUCAACCUGGGAAUUGCAUUGGAGACUGCAAGGCUAGAAUCUGGCAGAGGGGGGUAGAAUUCCACGUGUAGCAGUGAAAUGCGUAGAUAUGUGGAGGAACACCGAUGGCGAAGGCAGCCCCCUGGGUCAAGAUUGACGCUCAUGCACGAAAGCGUGGGGAGCAAACAGGAUUAGAUACCCCGGUAGUCCCAUGAU